RNAcentral lists this ribosomal RNA (694 nucleotides) under uncultured bacterium. RNAcentral's name for it is "bacterial SSU rRNA". It matches the Rfam family "Bacterial small subunit ribosomal RNA", at positions 111 to 823 of the family's 1533-position model. The record is from RNAcentral.
UAACGCGUGGGUAACCUGCCUCAUACAGGGGGAUAACAGUUGGAAACGACUGCUAAUACCGCAUAAGCGCACAGGAUCGCAUGAUCCGGUGUGAAGAACUCCGGUGGUAUGAGAUGGACCCGCGUCUGAUUAGCCAGUUGGCAGGGUAACGGCCUACCAAAGCGACGAUCAGUAGCCGACCUGAGAGGGUGACCGGCCACAUUGGGACUGAGACACGGCCCAAACUCCUACGGGAGGCAGCAGUGGGGAAUAUUGCACAAUGGGGGAAACCCUGAUGCAGCGACGCCGCGUGAGCGAAGAAGUAUUUCGGUAUGUAAAGCUCUAUCAGCAGGGAAGAAGAAUGACGGUACCUGACUAAGAAGCACCGGCUAAAUACGUGCCAGCAGCCGCGGUAAUACGUAUGGUGCAAGCGUUAUCCGGAUUUACUGGGUGUAAAGGGAGCGCAGGCGGUGCGGCAAGUCUGAUGUGAAAGCCCGGGGCUCAACCCCGGUACUGCAUUGGAAACUGUCGUACUAGAGUGUCGGAGGGGUAAGUGGAAUUCCUAGUGUAGCGGUGAAAUGCGUAGAUAUUAGGAGGAACACCAGUGGCGAAGGNGGCUUACUGGACGAUAACUGACGCUGAGGCUCGAAAGCGUGGGGAGCAAACAGGAUUAGNNCCCUGGUAGNCCACGCCGUANACGAUGAAUACUAGGUGU